AACCAUAGAAACCUGCGGAGUACCUGCGGAAGGAUCAUUACAAAUCCAUUUCACAUUCAAUGGCGCUGUCGAAGCGACGUCGGGGCGUGUGGGUCGCGCAGGGGAGCGACGCCACACCAUACCCAACAUUAAUUAUACGAUGACUUUUAUGGACAAACGACACAUUGUCAUGUUCAUCAUCAUCUCUCCAUGAUAUGAUGUACAUAAUAAACAACCACAACUUUCAACAACGGAUCUCAG
This 240-nucleotide unclassified non-coding RNA is filed under the name soil metagenome. RNAcentral's name for it is "partial contains 5.8S ribosomal RNA, internal transcribed spacer 2, and large subunit ribosomal RNA". The record is from RNAcentral.